This 253-nucleotide ribosomal RNA is filed under the name uncultured bacterium. RNAcentral describes it as "partial 16S ribosomal RNA". It matches the Rfam family "Bacterial small subunit ribosomal RNA", at positions 524 to 776 of the family's 1533-position model. The record is from RNAcentral.
UACAGAGACUGCGAGCGUUAUUCGGAUUCACUGGGCGUAAAGGGUGCGCAGGCGGCCGAGUGUGUGAGGCGUGAAAGCCCGGGGCUUAACCCCGGAAUUGCACCUCAAACUACACGGCUAGAGCAUUGGAGAGGGUAGCAGAAUUCACGGUGUAGCAGUGAAAUGCGUAGAUAUCGUGAGGAAUACCAGAGGCGAAGGCGGCUACCUGGACAAUUGCUGACGCUCAGGCACGAAAGCGUGGGGAGCAAACGGG